UUGGAGGGCAAGUCUGGUGCCAGCAGCCGCGGUAAUUCCAGCUCCAAUAGCGUAUAUUAAAGUUGUUGCAGUUAAAAGGCUCGUAGUUGAAUUUCGAGAUCGGCUUACUGGUCGUGCUUUUGUACGUACUGGUAUAAUCGGUUUCUCCUUUCUGACGAACUUUAAUGCCAUUAAUUUGGUGUUUUAGGGAAUCAGGACUGUUACUUUGAAAAAAUUAGAGUGUUUAAAGCAGGCUCACGCUUGAAUACAUUAGCAUGGAAUAACGGAAUAGGACGUUUGAUUCUAUUUUGUUGGUUUCUAGGAUCGACGUAAUGAUUAAUAGGGAUAGUUGGGGGCAUUAGUAUUCAAUUGUCAGAGGUGAAAUUCUUGGAUUUAUUGAAGACUAACUACUGCGAAAGCAUUUGCCAAGGAUGUUUUCAUUAAUCAAGAACGAAAGUUAGGGGAUCGAAGACGAUCAGAUACCGUCGUAGUCUUAACCAUAAACUAUGCCGACUAGGGAUCGGAUGAUGUUAAUUUUUUAAUGACUCAUUCGGCGCCUUACGGGAAAC
RNAcentral lists this ribosomal RNA (548 nucleotides) under uncultured Glomeromycotina. Its description in RNAcentral is "SSU rRNA". It matches the Rfam family "Eukaryotic small subunit ribosomal RNA", at positions 548 to 1098 of the family's 1831-position model. The record is from RNAcentral. Lineage: Eukaryota; Fungi; Glomeromycota.